AUUCCAGCUCUGUAAGCGUAUACCAAAGUUGUUGCAGUUAAAACGCUCGUAGUCGGAUUUUGGCGUGGUGCUUCUGAGAUGCCUGAUUUUGGGCGUCAAAUAUUGUAGUCCCGCCUUUGUGGAGGGGGGUGUGGUGGUGCUUUAUUGCAUUGCCGCAUUUCCGCCACUGUUUACUGUGAAAAAAUUAGAGUGUUCAAAGCGAGCGAUUGCCAUGAAUACAUUAGCAUGGAAUAAUAGAAUAGGACCUGGUUCUGUUUUAUUGGUUUGUCGGUAUCAGGUAAUGAUUAAGAGGGACGGUCGGGGGCAUUUAUAUUCCAGGGUUAGAGGUGAAAUUCUUAGAUCCUUGGAAGAUAAACAGCUGCGAAAGCGUCUGCCAAGGACGUUUUCAUUA
RNAcentral lists this ribosomal RNA (391 nucleotides) under Polysiphonia sp. Its description in RNAcentral is "partial small subunit ribosomal RNA". It matches the Rfam family "Eukaryotic small subunit ribosomal RNA", at positions 582 to 975 of the family's 1831-position model. Lineage: Eukaryota; Rhodophyta; Florideophyceae; Ceramiales; Rhodomelaceae. The record is from RNAcentral.